RNAcentral lists this ribosomal RNA (252 nucleotides) under uncultured bacterium. RNAcentral's name for it is "partial 16S ribosomal RNA". It matches the Rfam family "Bacterial small subunit ribosomal RNA", at positions 525 to 776 of the family's 1533-position model. The record is from RNAcentral.
ACGGAGGGGGCCAGCGUUGUUCGGAAUUAUUGGGCGUAAAGGGCGCGCAGGCGGUCGCGCAAGUCGGUUGUGAAAUCCCCUGGCUUACCCAGGGAACUGCAUCCGAUACUGCGGGACUUGAGUCCGGGAGAGGAGAGUGGAAUUCCCAGUGUAGCGGUGGAAUGCGUAGAUAUUGGGAGGAACACCAGUGGCGAAGGCGGCUCUCUGGACCGGUUCUGACGCUGAGGCGCGAAAGCUAGGGGAGCAAACAGG